UUUGAUGGUUAAGCUACAAAGGGCACACGGUGGAUGCCUUGGCGCCAGGAGCCGACGAAGGACGUGGCGAACGACGAAACGCUUCGGGGAGCUGUAAGCGAGCUUUGAUCCGGAGAUGUCCGAAUGGGGAAACCCACUAUCCGUAAUGGGAUAGUACUCCUGCCUGAAUCCAUAGGGCAGUGAGAGGCAUACCAGGGGAACUGAAACAUCUAAGUACCCUGAGGAAAAGAAAACAAUCAGUGAUUCCGUAAGUAGCGGCGAGCGAACGCGGAGAAGCCCAAACCAGAAGGUUCGCCUUCUGGGGUUGUAGGGCGUCUCACAUGGAGUUACAAAAGACGGUCAUAGACGAAGCGGUCUGGAAAGGCCCAUCAGAGAAGGUAACAAUCCUGUAGUUGAAAUGACCGUCUCUCCGAGACGUACCCUGAGUAGGGCGGGACACGUGAAACCCCGUCUGAAUCCGGGAGGACCAUCUCCCAAGGCUAAAUACUACCUGGCGACCGAUAGUGAACCAGUACCGUGAGGGAAAGGUGAAAAGCACCCCGGGAGGGGAGUGAAAGAGAUCCUGAAACCGUGUGCCUACAAUUAGUCGGAGCACAAUCAAUGUGUGACGGCGUGCCUUUUGUAGAAUGAACCGGCGAGUUACGGUUGCGUGCAAGGUUAAGUCUGAGAAGACGGAGCCGCAGCGAAAGCGAGUCUGAAUAGGGCGAAUGAGUACGUAGCCGUAGACCCGAAACCGUGUGAUCUACCCAUGUCCAGGGUGAAGGUGCGGUAACACGCACUGGAGGCCCGAACCCACGUACGUUGAAAAGUGCGGGGAUGAGGUGUGGGUAGCGGAGAAAUUCCAAUCGAACUCGGAGAUAGCUGGUUCUCCCCGAAAUAGCUUUAGGGCUAGCCUCGGAUUCCUGUACCGGAGGUAGAGCACUGAUUGGAUGCGGGCCCCUCGCGGGGUACCAAAUUCAGUCAAACUCCGAAUGCCGGAUACAGCAGGUCCGGGAGUCAGACUGCGAGUGCUAAGAUCCGUAGUCAAAAGGGAAACAGCCCAGAUCACCAGCUAAGGUCCCUAAAUGUACGCUAAGUGGGAAACGAUGUGGAGUUGCCCAGACAACCAGGAUGUUGGCUUAGAAGCAGCCACCAUUUAAAGAGUGCGUAAUAGCUCACUGGUCGAGUGACUCUGCGCGGAAAAUGUAACGGGGCUAAGCGUACUACCGAAGCUGUGGAUUGACACCAACGGUGUCAGUGGUAGGGGAGCGUUCCUGCAGCAGUGAAGUCAGACCGGAAGGACUGGUGGAGCGGCAGGAAGUGAGAAUGCCGGUGUAAGUAGCGAAAAGAGAGGUGAGAAUCCUCUCCGCCGAAAGCCUAAGGGUUCCUGGGGAAGGCUCGUCCUCCCAGGGUUAGUCGGGACCUAAGCCGAGGCUGAAAAGCGUAGGCGAUGGACAACAGGUGGAAAUUCCUGUACUACCUCCACUCCGUUUGAGCAACGGGGGGACGCAGGAGGGUAGGGUGAGCAGACUGUUGGAUAUGUCUGUCCAAGCAGUGAGGCGUGUGUAUAGGCAAAUCCGUACACUGUAACGCCAGGCUGUGAUGGCGAGCGAAAUUGUAGUAGCGAAGUCCCUGAUCUCACACUGCCAAGAAAAGCCUCUAGCGAGGAGUGAGGUACCCGUACCGCAAACCGACACAGGUAGGCGAGGAGAGAAUCCUAAGGCGCGCGAGAAAACUCUUGCUAAGGAACUCGGCAAAAUGACCCCGUAACUUCGGGAGAAGGGGUGCCCCGGUAGCGUGUCAAAGCGCGAGGGGGCCGCAGUGAAAAGGCCCAAGCGACUGUUUAGCAAAAACACAGGUCUCUGCGAAGCCGCAAGGCGAAGUAUAGGGGCUGACGCCUGCCCGGUGCUGGAAGGUUAAGGGGAAAGGUUAGCACCUUCGGUGCGAAGCUUUGAACCGAAGCCCCAGUAAACGGCGGCCGUAACUAUAACGGUCCUAAGGUAGCGAAAUUCCUUGUCGGGUAAGUUCCGACCCGCACGAAAGGCGUAACGACUUGGGCACUGUCUCGGCAAGAGACUCGGUGAAAUCAUACUACCUGUGAAGAUGCAGGUUACCCGCGACAAGACGGAAAGACCCCAUGGAGCUUUACUGCAGCCUGAUAUUGAAUGCUGGUAUUGUUUGUACAGGAUAGGUGGGAGCCGUUGAAGCCGGACCGUCAGGUUCGGUGGAGGCGUCCUUGGGAUACCACCCUGACAAUGCUGGCCUUCUCACUUGCAUCCCUCACCGGGAUGAAGGACCGUGUCAGGCGGGCAGUUUGACUGGGGCGGUCGCCUCCUAAAAGGUAACGGAGGCGCCCAAAGGUUCCCUCAGAAUGGUUGGAAAUCAUUCGCAGAGUGUAAAGGCACAAGGGAGCUUGACUGCGAGACCUACAAGUCGAGCAGGGACGAAAGUCGGGCUUAGUGAUCCGGUGGUUCCGCAUGGAAGGGCCAUCGCUCAACGGAUAAAAGCUACCCUGGGGAUAACAGGCUUAUCUCCCCCAAGAGUCCACAUCGACGGGGAGGUUUGGCACCUCGAUGUCGGCUCAUCGCAUCCUGGAGCUGAAGUAGGUUCCAAGGGUUGGGCUGUUCGCCCAUUAAAGCGGUACGCGAGCUGGGUUCAGAACGUCGUGAGACAGUUCGGUCCCUAUCUGUCGUGGGCGCAGGAAAUUUGAGAGGAGCUGUCCUUAGUACGAGAGGACCGGGAUGGACGCACCGCUGGUGCACCAGUUGUUCCGCCAGGAGCACAGCUGGGUAGCUAUGUGCGGCCGGGAUAAGCGCUGAAAGCAUCUAAGCGUGAAGCCCCCCUCAAGAUGAGAUUUCCCACAGCAUAAGCUGGUAAGACCCCUUAAAGAUGAUGAGGUAGAUAGGUUCGGGGUGGAAGCGUGGCAACACGCGGAGCUGACGAAUACUAAUCGGUCGAGGGCUUAACCAAACA
RNAcentral lists this ribosomal RNA (2952 nucleotides) under Aneurinibacillus migulanus. RNAcentral describes it as "bacterial LSU rRNA". It matches the Rfam family "Bacterial large subunit ribosomal RNA". The record is from RNAcentral. Lineage: Bacteria; Bacillati; Bacillota; Bacilli; Caryophanales; Paenibacillaceae.